Molecule: transfer RNA, 73 nt
Filed under: Mortierella polycephala
Lineage: Eukaryota; Fungi; Mortierellomycota; Mortierellomycetes; Mortierellales; Mortierellaceae
Rfam family: tRNA
About the family: Transfer RNA (tRNA) molecules are approximately 80 nucleotides in length.
Source: Rfam by way of RNAcentral
GCACUUGUAACUUAACUGGAAAAGUAUAGGCCUUCUAAGCUUAGCAAUAAUGGUUCGAAUCCGUUCGAGUGUU